GCCGGGAUGGCGGAACUGGUAGACGCGCCGGACUCAAAAUCCGGUUCCCGCGAGGGAGUGAGGGUUCGAUUCCCUCUCCCGGCACCA
Molecule: transfer RNA, 87 nt
Filed under: Chromatiales bacterium
Lineage: Bacteria; Pseudomonadati; Pseudomonadota; Gammaproteobacteria; Chromatiales
Description: tRNA-Leu
Rfam family: tRNA
About the family: Transfer RNA (tRNA) molecules are approximately 80 nucleotides in length.
Source: RNAcentral